RNAcentral lists this long non-coding RNA (1953 nucleotides) under Homo sapiens (human). RNAcentral's name for it is "HSALNT0290809". The record is from RNAcentral. Lineage: Eukaryota; Metazoa; Chordata; Mammalia; Primates; Hominidae.
AGGUGGGGAAUGAGGAGACUCUGUCAGGCUUGUUUCUUUUUGAGUAAAAACACACCUGUGCACACUUUCAGGCAUCUCAGUGGAGUCCUUUCACAUACCAUGUGUCUCCUCUGCUGGCCUCUGGACUCUGAAUUCUUGCUAAUGGUUUUCCCUCUGCCUCUUGAUCCCUGCCUUACUCUAUUUUUCUUGGAAAUGUCCAUGUGCUUCAGUUAAAUGUCAUCUCCUCCAGGAAGCCUUUUUUUUGAAGCAUCCCAUAGUCACCCCCUCCAUCACGAUUCAUCAAUGUCCUGCCCCAUCCGGGUCAAGCAUGAGGGAUGCUGUUUUCCAAUGGUCCUGCCUUGAACAUGGGCUCCCAAGGCCCACAGAGACCACUUCAUCAUCUUUGUACGUUCAGUACCGUGCAGAGUGGCACAAAAUAGAUGCUCUGAGUUUACUGAAUGAAUAUGCUUCUGGGAGAGCACCCACCCUCCCCUUCCCCAGUUAUCUAAACAGGCUGAAGAGUGCUAAGAAGGACCUUAGGCUUUGGAAUCAGAUAGACUUGUUCAAACCUGGGCUCUCCCUCUUACCGUGUGGCCUUGAGCUAUUUCUCCAUUUGUUUUCUCAUCUAUGAAGUGAGGAUAGUAAUGCCUGUGUCACAGAUGAUUGUGAGGCGGAUGAAAUAAUACUGUGAGUCUCUGAGCACAGGGUAAUCAUAAACACAGGGAUACCCCUCAACAUAUAAACCCUCGUGGGCUCCUAGACCCCCUGACCCCUCAGAACCCCUUCUGGAGCCACUAGGAUCUCGUUCAAGGCUGGUCCACCUCACACGAAUCCUACCCCAUGGGCGCUGGGAAGGGUUUUGAACAUGUUGCAGACUGGUCUCAAACUCCCAAACUCCUGAGCUCAAGCAAUCCCAGCUCAAGCUUGGUGGCUCUAAACAGUUCUGUUCAAGGGAGCUCUUCUCAGCCAGGCCUUCAUCUUUCUUCCAUGUUGGAUGCUUCCUGACCUUGAAAAUUGGACUCCAAGUUCUUUAGCUUUUGGACUGGGACUUACACCAGUGGUUUGCCAGGAGCUCUCAGGCCUUCGGCCACAAACUGAAGGCUGCACUGUUGGCUUCCCUACUUUUGAGGUUUUGGGACUCGGACUGGCUUCCUCGCUCCUCAGCUUGCAAACAGCCGGUUGUACGACUUUACUUUGUGAUUGUGUGAGUCAAUAGUCCUUAAUAAACUCCCUUUCCUAUAUACAUCUAUCCUAUUAGUCUGUCCCUCUAGAGAACCCUGACUGAUACAGAAAGGGUGAGGGGUGGUAUGGAGCCUGAACUCAGGCCUCCCUGGCUCCAAAGCUCUCCACUGCUCUGCCCUCCCCACCUCUCUCUGGGUUUAAGCUCCUGGAGGGAUGAGACCAAGGCAUGGUCAUCUCUAUCCAUGGAGUCCUGCAAAUAGCACAUUCUCAACAAAGUUUGUUGAAAAAGACCAUCUGGGUUCAAGUCCCAGUCCUGCCAUUUACUAAGCUACAAGGGGCUUUGGCAAGUUAUGUAACCUCUCCAUGCCUCAGUUUCUUCAUCUGUAAAAUAAUAAAAAUAAUAGUCCUACACAUUUAGGCUUGCAGGUAGAACUAGAUGACCUCACAUAUGAAAAAUGCCAGAACAGUACCUGGCGCAGGGUAAAUAUUGUGAAAUGCUGGGCUUCAUUAUCAUUAUGGCCCCCUUUCAAGGAUGCCUGGUGCAGGAAGAGGGGUGAUCUGGUUUGGCUCUGUACUCCCACUCAAAUCUCAUGUUGAAUUGUAAUCCCCAGUGUUGGGGGAGGGACCUCGUGGGAGGAGAUUGGAUCAUGGGGGCGGAUGUCCGCUUUGCUGUUGUCAAGAUAGGGAGCAAGUUCUCAUGAGAUCUGCUUGUUUGGAAGUGUGUAGCACUUCCUGCUUUGCUCUUUCUCCCUCUCCUGCUCCCGCCAUGUAAGACAUGCUUCCUUCCCCCUC